RNAcentral lists this ribosomal RNA (301 nucleotides) under uncultured bacterium. RNAcentral's name for it is "partial 16S ribosomal RNA". It matches the Rfam family "Bacterial small subunit ribosomal RNA", at positions 509 to 807 of the family's 1533-position model. The record is from RNAcentral.
CAGCCGCCGCGGUAAAACAGAGGUCUCAAGCGUUGUUCGGAUUCAUUGGGCGUAAAGGGUGCGUAGGUGGCGGUGUAAGUCUAACGUGAAAUCUCGGGGCUCAACCUCGAAAUUGCGUCGGAUACUGCAUUGCUAGAGGAUUGUAGAGGAGAGUGGAAUUCAUGGUGUAGCAGUGAAAUGCGUAGAUAUCAUGAGGAAGACCAGUUGCGAAGGCGACUCUCUGGGCAAUUCCUGACACUGAGGCACGAAGGCUAGGGGAGCAAACGGGAUUAGAUACCCCAGUAGUCCCUGUCUCUUAUAC